AAGAAAAAAAGGAUGGUGUGUUUUUUUUUGGUUUCGAUUCGGAGCUUCGUCUGAAGUGUGUGUUUACGCAGGUCACACUCCUGAUAAGUGGAGCCUACCAUCUGGUCUGUUCUGUGCUCUGAACAUUUUGAGCUGGACUCUUCAUUUUGUCUCCACUUUAAAAGAGUCAAUUGGUUGUUUAACGUGUGCUCCUGUACGGCGGGGGCAGGGAGGGGGGUGGGGGUGUGCACUCAUCUGCCGGUGUCAGCGUCAACGAGCAGCAGCAGCAGCACCAUGGAGCCACGGCUGAGACCCUGUGUUCUGCUAGAACCACAUCCGGCUGCAGUCAGAUCACAGCUCACCCCCAGAGUUUGGGUUGUCAAGCAAAACAAGAUUACGGUAAGAUCCAAGUUAAUAUGUCUGGAUGCAUUCUCACUAAUCCAGGUGAGGGGUGGGGGGACAGUUGAGCAGCUCCUCUGAACGGGAUGUCCGGUUUCAUCUCUCCUGCGGUCUGUUUUAUCAAAGAACCCAUCCAGACCUGCUCUGCUCAACCUUUUUUAAAAAACCCAAAUUAAAAUUUAUUGAAACCACUUAAUCACAACGUUUAUAUCAUUUUAAAAUCAUACCAAAGUAAAGAAGAUAUUCUGAAGAAAAUUACACUUCCUCAUGUGUCACUUCAAUCUAAUUUAUAGCUAAAGGCACUCAGUCAAUUAUUUACUGUAGACAAAAAAAUAAAAUAAAUAAAAAUCGUAGCAGUCUAUUAACAAUACAUAAAGUGUGUCAUGAUUAUAUGGGACAGGUGCCUCCAUAUAGUAAUUAAAAGUAAGUAAACUGUGCAUACAGAACAAACAAUUAUUUUAUUUAAUUAUAUUUUUUGCUGUACCAUACCAUGCUUUCAUGUUGUUUCUUCUGUUCAGAGCUGAUCAUUUAUCAUUUACUGUACAUUUCAGGUCCUUGCUGAUGCCACAGCAGAAUAUGAAAACUGUUCUUUUUAGAAGCUGYUUAUGCUGACGUGGGUGAUCUGAUGGCCGUGUUUCCGUCUCCGCGUGAAGACGAGUGCAGAACAGAGAAGGUUGCCACCGAGCUCAGCAUGUGAAAGACCAGAUAAAUACCGGCCGUGACAGACCACGUCACGCUUCAACACCAGCUGAUUGUUUUGCCAGCACUUUUCUAAAUUUUAAUAUUUUUAUAUGUGUGCUACACAAGUAUUGAUUGUUGUUUUUCUUGUGACCAAGUUGUUCCAAAUGAAAUGAAGAGUAUCAGUU
Long non-coding RNA from Austrofundulus limnaeus, 1244 nucleotides. RefSeq lists it as uncharacterized. NCBI's taxonomy places the organism in Eukaryota, Metazoa, Chordata, Actinopteri, Cyprinodontiformes, Rivulidae. The transcript is spliced from 2 exons. The record is from RefSeq and is a predicted model, not a curated record.